GCUGCCCCUUGAAGCAUUGCAGUCCGACUGCAAGUGUCGAGCGUGUGUCAUGAGGGGCGGAGAGUGACCGGUCUAUGCCGAGGAUCCAGAACAAUGAGAGCUUGGCGUGAUUGGCUAGG
This is a small nucleolar RNA of Hucho hucho (huchen), 119 nucleotides long. Lineage: Eukaryota; Metazoa; Chordata; Actinopteri; Salmoniformes; Salmonidae. The record is from Ensembl.